Molecule: non-coding RNA, 731 nt
Filed under: Trogoderma granarium
Lineage: Eukaryota; Metazoa; Arthropoda; Insecta; Coleoptera; Dermestidae
Source: RNAcentral
AGGAGGUUUUAUUUAUGCUUAAAAACUCAGUUUUUUCUUGUGGUAUAUGCUUGAUUUUUAAAUUGGGUUUUUGCAGUACUUGGAAUUUUAUAUUGGGGCAAUCCUGAUUAAGCAAUGAUAGAGAGUUUUGACAAAAUUUGUGCCAGCAGUUGCGGUUAUACAAAUAAUGCAAUUGAGUUUUAUUAGGGAGAAUUAAGUUUUUGUUUUUAGAUUAUAGUUUAACUUUUAAGGUAGAAUUUUAAGUUAUUAAAGGUCUUUUUUGCGAUUAUUUUAGAUUUUUUGUUAGACUAGGAUUAGAUACCCUAUUAUUUUAAAUGUAAAUUUGUUCCUUGAUUAGUAUUAGUUGAUUUCUUGAAAAUUAAAUGAUUUGGCGGUAUUCUAUCUAUUUAGAGGAACCUGUUCCGUAAUCGAUGGUCCACGAUUAAAUUUACUUGCAUUAUUAGUUUGUAUAUCGUCGUUUUUGAAGAUUUUAUUAGAAUUAUUUUCCUGAGUUUUUUGUAAAGGAGGUCAGAUCAAGGUGCAGCUUAUAUGUAGGAGGUAAUGGGUUACAAUAGCUUUAGUUAUAUGGAUUUUUUUUUGUAAUAUUGAUUUGAAGGUGGAUUUAAAAGUAAAUUUUUUUAUAUAGAAUAAUUGAUAUAGGAAUAGGAUAUGCACAUAUCGCCCGUCGCUCUCGAUAAAUUUGAGAUAAGUCGUAACAGAGUAGGCGUACUGGAAAGUGUGCCUGGAUUGAU